RNAcentral lists this unclassified non-coding RNA (338 nucleotides) under fungal sp. RNAcentral describes it as "partial internal transcribed spacer region". The stretch from base 1 to 46 matches the Rfam family "Eukaryotic small subunit ribosomal RNA", at positions 1786 to 1831 of the family's 1831-position model. Lineage: Eukaryota; Fungi. The record is from RNAcentral.
AAGUCGUAACAAGGUUUCCGUAGGUGAACCUGCGGAAGGAUCAUUAACACGUAUCCAACGUUAAACCCCCCGUGAACCUUCAUUGUGCUCCCCCAUUCCGUUAGGACGCGGCAAUCCCUGGUAAAUCAUCGCCGAACAGUUUUGAUUCAGGGACCUCUGCAUGGAGUGGGCAGCAGCGCGAGGCAAGUGGCCUGGCAUUCGAAAGAAUGGCGCAGUAACGAUCGCUAGAGGCUCACUGGGCUCACGCCCCCCUAUCACCUUUGCAUGAAAACGGGCCUGCGCUUAAUUGUGCGGCCACCAAACUCGAACAACUGUUAACAAUGGAUAUCUUGGUUCUC